AUGCCCACUUGCUCUGCUAUUUCUCAGAAAAAAGGAAGACUGUACUACUUGGUCAGAGUACUUAUCCCUGUGGUUAGCUUCAUAUCACUCGUAUUGUUAAUUUACUUUGCACGCCUGGGGGCCAAGACACCAAGAAGAGCAUCCUUAUUGUUGCUUUAUUCUGGCAAUCAUUUUCCUAGACUAUCCUACAGGGAUAUAGCUCAAGCUACACAGAGCUUUUCUGAGUCUAACCUGGUUGGCAGAGGAAGCUACGGUUCAGUAUAUAGAGGAAAGUUAACUCAAGCAAAAAUACAAGUGGCUAUUAAAGUUUUUGACCUCGAUGUGAGAUACGCAGACAAAAGUUUCAUAUCAGAAUGUGAGGUUUUGAGAAGUAUUCGACAUCGAAAUCUUGUUUCUAUCCCAACAGCAUGUUCAACAAUAGAUAAUGAUGGUAACGCUUUCAAAGCUCUAAUUUAUGAGUUCAUGCCAAACGGGAAUUUGGACACAUGGUUACACACAAAAUCUGCUGGUGAAGGUCCAAGGAUUUUGAGCUUAGGGCAAAGAAUAAGCAUCGCUAUUAAUAUCGCUGAUGCAUUGGCCUACUUACACCAUGAUAUAACAAGAUCCAUUGUCCAUUGCGAUCUGAAACCCAGCAAUAUCCUCCUGGACACUGAUAUGAAUGCAUAUUUGGGUGACUUCGGCAUUGCAAACCUCGUCCGUAAUUCAAAGUCAACAUCAGUUGGGCAUUCAAGUUCAGCCUCAACUUCAGAUGGCUCAAUUGGAUUGAAAGGAACUAUAGGAUAUAUUGCUCCAGAGUAUGCUCAAACUGGCCAAGCAUCAACUUUUUGGGACGUUUACAGUUUUGGAGUAGUUCUUCUAGAGAUGCUGAUAGGGUAA
This 876-nucleotide ribosomal RNA is filed under the name Triticum aestivum (bread wheat). Its description in RNAcentral is "partial small subunit ribosomal RNA". The record is from RNAcentral. Lineage: Eukaryota; Viridiplantae; Streptophyta; Magnoliopsida; Poales; Poaceae.